RNAcentral lists this transfer RNA (72 nucleotides) under Spirochaetales bacterium. RNAcentral describes it as "tRNA-Cys". It matches the Rfam family "tRNA". Rfam says of the family: Transfer RNA (tRNA) molecules are approximately 80 nucleotides in length. Their secondary structure includes four short double-helical elements and three loops (D, anti-codon, and T loops). The record is from RNAcentral. Lineage: Bacteria; Pseudomonadati; Spirochaetota; Spirochaetia; Spirochaetales.
GGCGCCGUACCCAAGUGGUAAGGGAGAGGUCUGCAAAACCUCGAUGCAGCGGUUCGAAUCCGCUCGGCGCCU